UCGGGAAUAUUGCGCAAUGGAGGAAACUCUGACGCCGUGACGCCGCGUGCAGGAAGAAGGUUUUCGGAUUGUAAACUGCUUUAGACAGGGAAGAAAAAAGACAGUACCUGUAGAAUAAGCUCCGGCUAACUACGUGCCAGCAGCCGCGGUAAUACGUAGGGAGCAAGCGUUAUCCGGAUUUAUUGGGUGUAAAGGGUGCGUAGACGGAGAGGCAAGUUAGUUGUGAAAUCCCUCGGCUUAACUGAGGAACUGCAACUAAAACUACUUCCCUUGAGUACUGGAGAGGAAAGUGGAAUUCCUAGUGUAGCGGUGAAAUGCGUAGAUAUUAGGAGGAACACCA
This 340-nucleotide ribosomal RNA is filed under the name uncultured Acetivibrio sp. RNAcentral's name for it is "bacterial SSU rRNA". It matches the Rfam family "Bacterial small subunit ribosomal RNA", at positions 355 to 711 of the family's 1533-position model. Lineage: Bacteria; Bacillati; Bacillota; Clostridia; Acetivibrionales; Acetivibrionaceae. The record is from RNAcentral.